This is a long non-coding RNA of Macaca fascicularis (crab-eating macaque), 2003 nucleotides long. The record is from Ensembl. NCBI's taxonomy places the organism in Eukaryota, Metazoa, Chordata, Mammalia, Primates, Cercopithecidae.
UAGUUAAAAUGUCUGUUUAUUCAUUUACAAACCUAGUAACGUCAGAAGAAACUCAGUGGAAACCUUGCUUGGUGGAGACAGUGCACAGUGUUAGUGCCACAUUCACAGGGGCAGAAAUGCUCGGUCACCCUGUGCACCCAAAGUCACCAAGGAUCUCUAGAAAAGAUCCCACUUACUGAAGUGCCUCGGAUGUCUUCAGGGCCACAUUGUAACUACACAGGAACAGAGAAGAGCUAAGCUGAACUGCACAUUGACAAACACAAACGAUGAGUCACAGGACUCUACAGUAAUUACAAUGGCAUUUUUAUACAUCCCAAGUGUUGACCAGAGAGUAAAGUGUUAACUGAGCUGCUAGAAAACCCUUCACUGAAAGAGCUUUCUAGCCCACGCCCAUUGUUCUGAGGAAGGAGAGGCUAUGUGGGGUGGAUGGGAACCCACACGCUGAGAUGAACUUUUCUCUUUCUUCCAAUCUGCACCCACCAUCUGACAUUCCGGAGUGUAAGGCACUAGAACCUGGCUUAGAGAAUAGCAGGGCUCUAAGCUCCAGUUCUUGGUGUGCAAAGGAAAUUCUGACAUAGAUCUUUUGAAAGAGAUGCUAAAAAAUCCUCCCUAUCUCCUGUAAUUUCUGUCUUUGACAGGAAAACAAGAAGGCAGAAGAUGGUUUGAAAGGAUAAAAACAGGUGCAUCUAAGAAUGAGAAAAAUGGCCCAUGAAGAAAUGUGUAACUCUCCAAGAGAUGCAGACACUCUGCUCGGAGAAGUCAAGAAUCACAAACAACUCUUGAUGUUUUAUGGACAAAGAGGAGGCAAAGGCAUACAAAAAUACUCAGUUAUCUUGAAAAAGAGUGUACUGGUAGUGAUCAGGGCUGCAAAGACGAGCCCGGUAUUGACAAUGGGGGAGCCUUACAACUCAGCACCUUGAAGUGUUGGCCCGAAAUGGUGGCGGGGAGGAGGUGCUGAUGGAGACCCAUGGGCACCACUUACUGUGUGUACACAGGGCCUGGGGCAAGCCUCACACAUCUACCAUUUCUUCCACUCAACUGUGCUUCUCCUGAAUCCAUGUGCCUGAAAUGACAUGUGCAAGGUGAACAUUCUUUAUACUGUGCUAAUACUGCUUAUAUCAAUGUUUGUGAUGGGUGUUUGGGGGAUGGGGUGCAGCAGGAAAAUUAGAAUGGCAGGAGGUUCUUAUUUACUAUUAACCACUGUUGACCAAACCUCUAUCUUAGAUUUUUUUUUUUUUUUGAGACAGAGUCUCACUCUGUUACCCAGGCUGGAGUGCAGUGGUGCAAUCUUGGCUCACUGCAAUCUCUGCCUCCUGGGUUCAAGCGAUUCUCCCACCUUGCUGGGCCUCCCAAAGUGCUGGGAUUACAGGAGUAAGCAAACACACCCGGCCAACCAAACCCCUAUCUUAGAUGUUAAAGACGACCCUGAUUGACCACACUGGCGAAGCAAGAGAGACAUAAAACUGACCCUUGUAGCUAACCCCUGAAAGCAAGCCAAUGCAAAUUCCUCCACCAGGCCAGUAUUCUAGGGCCAAUAUGGAGACUGCGGGUCACAGAAGAUUCCCUUCUAUUUCAGGUUCUCAAAAAGUGGUGUAGACUCAGCCAAAUGCCAGGAAAUGUGUCCCUACACCAGAGGAGAAGCAGAGCCAGAAAUGAAGGCUACAGGUUGAGUGCUUCCUGUCUUCAGCGAAGCACUCAACGCUCUUGGAAAGCUCCCAUCAUUCUUGCACCGCUACUGCCACCAAGACGGUGGCGAGGGAGGAGGCUAAAUUUCAAAUACAUGCAAAGGCAGGUAAUAUACUGUGGAAGCUGGAGGUUUACUUUUCAUACACUUUAGUUACUUUCUUGGAAACAGCAGUCCAGGAAAGCAAGCAAACAGGUAAAACUCCGGCUGUGCAUGAGGAGACGAUCCAGGGCCAGUGUGCCUCCCAGUGAGAACCAAACAGGAGUGGCCAGGCUCUACUCCUGGGGCCAGAGUGAAACCGGGGUUUAAUCACCGGGCA